This 1833-nucleotide ribosomal RNA is filed under the name Triticum aestivum (bread wheat). RNAcentral describes it as "partial small subunit ribosomal RNA". Lineage: Eukaryota; Viridiplantae; Streptophyta; Magnoliopsida; Poales; Poaceae. The record is from RNAcentral.
AUGCCCCUUCCCCGGGACGCGGAGGCGGAGGCCAGGCGGAGGCGGAGGCGGAAGCGGGAUCGCGAGGUGUUUCCGCCGGGGCGCCGGGGCGUGGAUAGGGAGCCCGACGGGGAGAGAGGGGAGAGGCCGAAUCGUCGGUUCUUGGAUGGCAAGCACGACAAGCGCCGCCGCGUUUCAAAGAUCAAGAGAGUACCGAACUUCCGCGGCCGUCCCUCCAUCGUAUCCAAGUUGUUUCCCUCUCCCUCUGCUCUAGUGCAGUACUUCCCCAGCCACUACCUCAGCUCAUCCGAGGAGUCCUCGUCCUCUGCCUCCGCCCUGCCGGAGUCUCCCGGCUCCUCUGCCCUACCCAAGUCCUCCAGCUGCGCCCCCAGCUUACCUGAGGAGUCAUCUGCCCAUGCCCUACCGGACUCCCCCAUCUUACCUGAGGAAGAGCCCUCUGCCGCACCCAACUCCCCCAGCUUACCCGAGAAGGAGCCCUCUGACUUACCUGAGAAAUCGCCGUUACCUGAGAGGGAGCCCUCCGACUUACCUGAGAAAGCGCCCUUACCUGUGGAGGAGCCCCCUGACUUACCUGACAAAGAGACAGGCUCCAGCUCUGAUGGAGGAAUCUGUGAUGAGAUGGCAGAAAGAUUCCAGCAAAUUAUGGAGGAUUAUGCUACUAAUUAUGACCUCUAUGCUCAACAAAUUCGAGGAGAACCAGAGGAAUGUAACCUUACGGUGGAGAGUGAGUUCUGUGACAUUGAUGAUGGCAGUUCCCGUGGUUGGAAAGCUCGGAAAGUGGCUAUGCGAGCUUCAGAGUCAGUUGUUAGUCUUUCUUCCUUUUCAGAUGAAAAGAGGAUAAGAGUGGGCUCGGGAUUCAUGGUAGGGUUUAAUCGUCAUACCAAUACCAGCAAUAUCUUAACUUCAGCAACGCUGGUUAGGUCUCUUUGUGGGCAGAACAUUGUGAUUCCAGAUUUAAAGGUUGAGGUGUGUCUCCCGAAUGGGCAUAUAUCUGAGGGCUUGUUAUCCAUUGUUGAUUUUCACUAUAACAUAGCUAUUGUUGAAGUGAAAUCUGAUGAGGAACUGCCACGGCCUAUUCUUCUGUGUAAUGUCAUCAAAAGAGGAGCAGUGUUAGCAAUUGGACGAUUUUAUGAUCAUGGUGGAGUGAUGUGUGCACAAGGAAAAAUCAGAAAAGAAACCAGCACCUUUGACUGCUCAGAGCUUUUAGUAUCGAGCUGCCACACGACCAUGGCGGGUGUUGGAGGGCCCCUUGUAGAUUAUAGUGGUCAUGUCGUGGGUAUCAAUUUCUACGGAGAGAAACACACCCCUUUUCUUUCAUCAGCGAUUAUUAUAAGAUGCUUGGAUCAUUGGGCGUCCUGGGGACAAGUUAACCGACCAUGGCUUGGAUGCAUCUGCACAUCUGUUGAUAUGUUGCCACUUCGUGUUUUGGAGAAAUGCACCUAUCUUAACGAGGGUUUGUAUAUUUCAGAUGUUGUUAAGGGAUCACCAUUUGAUGUUGCUGGGCUAUCAGCUGGUGAUGUUUUGAUUGAAUGUGCUGGAGAAGUACUUAGUACUGCUGCCCAGUUAGGUGCACUGCUACUUGAUCUGUGCCACAAAUAUCUGAGGGGUUAUGUUGAGAGCAAGAUGACCGUGGAGGUUGUUGUCUGGAAGCAAAAGGAUGGCAGAAAAUCAAGGAAGAUAGUGAAAACCAAUUUAUUAAGCCACUGCAACUUUUACAGAUGGCUUGAUCCAUUGCCCAGGUACAACGAUAAGAAGAUGGUGAUGGCAAGGGACGUUAUGGAGCUUUAUUAUAAAGUCCUUGCCCAAGGAGCAAGAUUCACAAUGAAGCCGUGA